UGUCAUGGUCGUGCUCUCUUGU
Molecule: microRNA, 22 nt
Filed under: Petromyzon marinus (sea lamprey)
Lineage: Eukaryota; Metazoa; Chordata; Hyperoartia; Petromyzontiformes; Petromyzontidae
Description: Pma-Mir-281-P12_3p (mature (guide))
Source: RNAcentral